CCUACGGGUGGCAGCAGUGAGGAAUAUUGGUCAAUGGACGAGAGUCUGAACCAGCCAAGUAGCGUGAAGGAUGACUGCCCUAUGGGUUGUAAACUUCUUUUAUAUGGGAAUAAAAUGUUCCACGUGUGGGAUUUUGUAUGUACCAUAUGACUAAGGAUCGGCUAACUCCGUACCAGCAGCCGCGGUAAUACGGAGGAUCCGAGCGUUAGCCGGAUUUAUUGGGUUUAAAGGGAGCGUAGGUGGAUUGUUAAGUCAGUUGUGAAAGUUUGCGGCUCAACCGUAAAAUUGCAGUUGAAACUGGCAGUCUUGAGUACAGUAGAGGUGGGCGGAAUUCGUGGUGUAGCGGUGAAAUGCUUAGAUAUCACGAAGAACUCCGAUUGCGAAGGCAGUUCACUGGACUGCAACUGACACUGAGGCUCGAAAGUGUGGGUAUCAAACAGGAUUAGAUACCCGAGUAGUC
Molecule: ribosomal RNA, 460 nt
Filed under: uncultured bacterium
Lineage: Bacteria
Description: partial 16S ribosomal RNA
Rfam family: Bacterial small subunit ribosomal RNA
Source: RNAcentral